RNAcentral lists this small RNA (1148 nucleotides) under Akanthomyces attenuatus. Its description in RNAcentral is "eukaryotic LSU rRNA". The stretch from base 534 to 1148 matches the Rfam family "Eukaryotic large subunit ribosomal RNA", at positions 1 to 641 of the family's 3401-position model. Lineage: Eukaryota; Fungi; Ascomycota; Sordariomycetes; Hypocreales; Cordycipitaceae. The record is from RNAcentral.
UCUCCGUUGGUGAACCAGCGGAGGGAUCAUUAUCGAGUUUACAACUCCCAAACCCUUAUGUGAACAUACCUACUGUUGCUUCGGCGGACUCGCCCCGGCGUCCGGACGGCCUCGCGCCGCCCGCGGCCCGGACCCAGGCGGCCGCCGGAGACCCCCAAACUCUGUAUUAUCAGCAUUUUCUGAAUCCGCCGCAAGGCAAAACAAAUGAAUCAAAACUUUCAACAACGGAUCUCUUGGUUCUGGCAUCGAUGAAGAACGCAGCGAAAUGCGAUAAGUAAUGUGAAUUGCAGAAUUCAGUGAAUCAUCGAAUCUUUGAACGCACAUUGCGCCCGCCAGCAUUCUGGCGGGCAUGCCUGUUCGAGCGUCAUUUCAACCCUCGACUUCCCUUUGGGGAAAUCGGCGUUGGGGAACGGCAGCAUACCGCCGGCCCCGAAAUGAAGUGGCGGCCCGUCCGCGGCGACCUCUGCGUAGUAAUCCAACUCGCACCGGAACCCCGACGUGGCCACGCCGUAAAACACCCAACUUCUGAACGUUGACCUCGGAUCAGGUAGGAAUACCCGCUGAACUUAAGCAUAUCAAUAAGCGGAGGAAAAGAAACCAACAGGGAUUGCCCCAGUAACGGCGAGUGAAGCGGCAACAGCUCAAAUUUGAAAUCUGGCCCUUGGGUCCGAGUUGUAAUUUGUAGAGGAUGCUUUUGGCGAGGUGCCUUCCGAGUUCCCUGGAACGGGACGCCAUAGAGGGUGAGAGCCCCGUCUGGUCGGACACCGAGCCUCUGUAAAGCUCCUUCGACGAGUCGAGUAGUUUGGGAAUGCUGCUCAAAAUGGGAGGUAUAUGUCUUCUAAAGCUAAAUAUUGGCCAGAGACCGAUAGCGCACAAGUAGAGUGAUCGAAAGAUGAAAAGCACUUUGAAAAGAGGGUUAAAAAGUACGUGAAAUUGUUGAAAGGGAAGCGCCUAUGACCAGACUUGGGCCCGGUGAAUCAUCCAGCGUUCUCGCUGGUGCACUUUGCCGGGCACAGGCCAGCAUCAGUUUGGCGCGGGGGAAAAAGGCUUUGGGAAUGUGGCUCCCUCGGGAGUGUUAUAGCCCAUUGUGUAAUACCCUGCGCCGGACUGAGGUACGCGCAUUGCAAGGAUGCUGGCGUAAUGGUCAU